This 497-nucleotide ribosomal RNA is filed under the name uncultured bacterium. Its description in RNAcentral is "partial 16S ribosomal RNA". It matches the Rfam family "Bacterial small subunit ribosomal RNA", at positions 28 to 507 of the family's 1533-position model. The record is from RNAcentral.
GAUGAACGCUGGCGGCGUGCCUAAUACAUGCAAGUCGAGCGAACGGACGAGAAGCUUGCCUCUCUGAUGUUAGCGGCGGGCGGGAGGGUAACACGUGGAUAACCUCCCUAUAAGAAUGGGAUAACUUCGGGAAAACGGAGCUAAUACCGGAUAAUAUUUUGAACCGCAUGGUUCAAAAGUGAAAGACGGUCUUGCUGUCACUUAUCGAUGGAUCCGCGCUGCAUUAGCUAGUUGGUAAGGUAACGGCUUACCAAGGCAACGAUGCAUGGCCGACCUGAGAGGGUGAUCGGCCGCACUGGAACGGAGACACGGUCCAGACUCCUACGGGAGGCAGCAGUAGGGAAUCUGCCGCAGUGGGCGAAAGCCUGACGGAGCAAUGCCGCGUGAGUUAUGAAGGUCUUCGGAUCGUAAUGCUCUGUUAUUAGGGAAGAACAUAUGUGUAAGGAGCUGAGCACAUCGUGACGGUACCUAAUCAGAAAGCCACGGCUAACUACGUG